UUACGAUACUGAUUAUUGCUAUCUUAAUACGUGUCAUUUCUAAAGUGUACAACUAAAUAGGAAAAAAAAAGAAGACAAGUUUGUAUAGAUAGAAUUUUUCCAAACAACUCCAAGCAAAUAUACUAUUUCCCAGUAGAAUUGCGAGUAGAAGAUCCUCCUCUGCCUCCGCCUCCGCCUCUGCCUCUGCCUCUGUUAUUGUUUCCCCUUCCUCUUCCUCCGGUAGAUCCUUUUUUCGUAUUUCCUGGACCUGGAGUCGCCCUUGUUGGUGUUCCUGAAGAACCACUAACAGACCAGCGUCUACUUAUCGCAUUACAAAUUUCGCUUGCUAUCGGAACAACACUCGUCACAGUAUUUGCUAUAUCAUGGAUCAUCUCCAGAGUACUCUUACCAGUAUUACUAGUACUGUUUUCUCCUCUGGAUGGAGGUGGAG
This 430-nucleotide unclassified non-coding RNA is filed under the name Hevea brasiliensis (rubber tree). The record is from RNAcentral. Lineage: Eukaryota; Viridiplantae; Streptophyta; Magnoliopsida; Malpighiales; Euphorbiaceae.